Molecule: ribosomal RNA, 467 nt
Filed under: uncultured bacterium
Lineage: Bacteria
Description: partial 16S ribosomal RNA
Rfam family: Bacterial small subunit ribosomal RNA
Source: RNAcentral
GACGAACGCUGGCGGCGUGCUUAACACAUGCAAGUCGAACGGAAAGGCCCUGCUUUUGUGGGGUGCUCGAGUGGCGAACGGGUGAGUAACACGUGAGUAACCUGCCCUUGACUUUGGGAUAACUUCAGGAAACUGUGGCUAAUACCGGCUAGGAGCUCCUGCUGCAUGGUGGUGGUUGGAAAGUUUCGGCGGUUGGGGAUGGACUCGCGGCUUAUCAGCUUGUUGGUGGGGUAGUGGCUUACCAAGGCAUUGACGGGUAGCCGGCCUGAGAGGGUGACCGGCCACAGUGGGAUAGGGGUGCGGGCCGGAGGCAUACGGGGGGCAGGGGUGGGGAAUAUAGCAAAAAGGGCGGAAGGCGGAUGGAGCAACGCCGGGUGCGGGAUGACGGCCUUCGGGUUGUAAAACGAUUUUGCCUGUGACGAGGCGUGAGUGACGGAAAUGGGGAAAGAAGCACCGGCUAACUACGU